CUUGGUACCUUUUUUAAAGGUUGACUUAGCUUUUGAAUGGGUGUGGGAUGCCUAGAUCUUCUUGGCGCACGUGGGUGAUCUGUAGAUCAUGCAAAAAGGUGCGUGAUGAGUCCUUUUGUUUUGGACAGAAAGAGGUGCCUCUUAUAUGCUUAUUCGGUCUUUUGAAUUUAGAUUUAAAUUCUCUUGCCACAUGGUGAUUUUCA
Molecule: long non-coding RNA, 203 nt
Filed under: Elaeis guineensis (African oil palm)
Lineage: Eukaryota; Viridiplantae; Streptophyta; Magnoliopsida; Arecales; Arecaceae
Description: long non-coding RNA (EGUI_LNC050727)
Source: RNAcentral